Pan troglodytes (chimpanzee) is the source of this 22399-nucleotide long non-coding RNA. RefSeq lists it as uncharacterized. The record is from RefSeq and is a predicted model, not a curated record. The transcript is spliced from 3 exons. NCBI's taxonomy places the organism in Eukaryota, Metazoa, Chordata, Mammalia, Primates, Hominidae.
CAUGAUUCAUCUAUUACAGCAUAUCCUGAUCCUAUAUAAUAGGGCAGGUGAUUUAAAAAGGGUGGUCGUGGGAGGCAUUUCUGAGGAUGUGACAUUUCAGUUGAGCUAUGCAGGGUAAGUAGGAAUCAGCUAAGUAAAGAGAGAGGGAGAACAUUCCAGGCUGAGAGCAUGUGCUCUCUGAGCUCUGAGGUGGGAAUGAACUGGAUAGAAUCAAGAAACUAAAAACAGGCCAGCAUGGCUGGAACAUGGAGGGAAAGGCUUUAGGUUGAGAUGAUGUGGAGGGGAGGGUAGAGGCCGGCCGAGCUUGCUCCAGAGCAAACCCUGCUGCAGCAGAAGCUUUAUUUGAAAGAAUAAUUAUAGCUCUAAUUCAUAAGGACUCUAGCUAAUUGCAUCUACUAUGAGAUAAGCCUGGGUGGGUGGGACUCACAGAAAAAUGGGGAAGUAGCAGGUGACAUGGGUAAGUGACCUCACACAUUGAGGACUGUGAUGAACCUAAGUUCAGAGUGCCCUGUGGGUCUUACAUAGGGAGCAGGGGUGGGAGCCAGGAGCCAGCAGGAAGAAGGGUGAGCAGAGGUGCCAGAUGAUGAGGAAAGAGGGUCUUCCCCAUGGAGGGAAGGCUCUGAGUGGCCCAGAAGGACCACUCCCAUCGUGUGUAUGGAGUUUAGGGUGGGGACUUGGAGCUGCUGCAGGAGUCCAGACAAAUGUGAAAAAGACCCAGGCAACAGCAAUGGAGCUGCCCAUCUGUCAAGGACUCAGACUAUCAGGCAAGCUGGUGAGGGGGCCUGCAGGCAAGGAAUGCUUCCUCUGACAGGGGAGUCCUUCACUGUCGGCGGCUUCGCCUCGGUGGGUUAAUAAAGCCAUCCAUCACCCUUCUCCAUGCCAGGUAUCUAAAUGCCUGCUUAAUACCACCCUGGGGGGUGGGAGUCUGCAUCAGGGAUGCUCAGCACCUGGGGGCCAGGGUGCUGGUAUGUCAGGAACUGCCUCGUGGUUUGGAGCCUUGGUGCAAUCCAGAUGCAAACUCAGCUCAGGGUCUCCCUCUGCCUGGCUGGCUUGGGUAUGGGAUCACGCAGCUUGGGAGGCUGUGAUCUGACAAACAGCACCGAAGCACACUUGGAGUAGACACACUGAAGUUCCUGUUUGCCAUUUUACUGCUUGCAGAGGACAGAUGUCAGAGUAGAAACAGGUAUUUGCUACCCAGAACUUCCACGCUGCUGUCCCAUGCAUCUGCCUCUGACACAGUUUCGGAAUGUGCAGGCUUCAUGAGAGCACCACUAAGCACACACGUCUGGCUGUUCAGAGAAAGACGUUUGAAAACCACUGGUAGUUGCUUUGAUGCCUGUGGGAGUUUAAUGAGUUUGGGCUCCUGGAGAGGAAGUGAGCAUCAAUCAAACUACAGGCUCUUGCUUAUUGAGCACUCACUAUGUGCACUUCUUUGCCUUUACUAUGCGAGGAACUGGGUGCAAUUAUUAUUGCCAUUGCGCAGAUGGCAAGACUGAGGUCCAAAGAAGUGAGUUGUGUAUGAUAACACAGCAAGAAAACACAGAGCUGUAAUUUGAACCCAGGUUCAUCAGACUCUGGAGCCUCACUCUUAUCUGGGCACAGUUUGCUGGCUUCACAGGCUAAGUAAUCACCUUCGCAGUGUACCUAAAAUCCUCCCAACAACUCCGUCAAUCAGUGUUAUUGCCUCUAUUUUAUCUGUGAAGAGAAGGAAUUCAGAGAGGUGGUGGGAGCAGUGCAAGGUCACAGGGCCAGGAGGCUCAGAGCUGGGAUUCAACACAGUUCUAUAUGACUCCCAACCUGUAUUAUUAUUUUUCCCCCACCAGGAUAGUGUGUUUUCAAACCUUUUAAGCCACAAACCCCUCCUUCCUCCAAAAAAAGAAAUCUGAUGUGGGAUUCUGAUAUAAAGGGCAGAUGAAAGAGGGCACCACUCUGGUUAAGUGGGGACCCUGUUCUGGUUAUAUAUUGCCACAUAACAAAUCAUCCCAAAGUGUAGGGGCCUAAAACACAACACUCAUUUAUAAUCUGUCAAAGUUUUGUGAAUCAGGAACUUGGAUGGGGCACAGUGGGGAUAGGUUGCCUCUGCUCCAUGAUGUCUGUUGGAAGACUGGAAUAUGGGCUGGAAUCACUCACAAGUAUGGCAGAAGGUGCUGGCUGUCAGUUCUCCUUCAUAGGGUCUCUCUGUGUGAGCUAGUUGGGCUUCCUCACAGCAUGGUGGUUGGGUUGUAAUGGCACAGGUAGAAGCAUUGCCUUUCACAACCUGGCCCUGGAAGUCAUGUGAUAUCACUUCCCAUCUAGGUUUAAGAGUAGUGGAAAAAUACUGAAUGAGUGCAUGGGGCUGAAAAUAUUGCUGGGCUAGGAAUGAACAUACCUGGCCGGGGGGCUCGGGAGUGCUGAGGAGCUUCUUCCUCAGUUAGUCCUCACAUUCUGGCUCUCCCGGUUUACCUCUCCGCAACUCCUAGUACCUUUCAGCUGUUUCCUGCUUUGCGGUGGGGGUAGAAGCUUCUGCUUGGUUGGGCCCGUUUCUCCUCCUGGUGGCACCCCCUCCUGGCCAGCUCAAAAUUAGCCCCCAUCUCCAGCUCCUUCAGGGACCUCACAGGCCCAAUCCGUCUACCUCCCUCUUACUCAAUUUUUGACCAGCUGCUGUAUUAGUUGAGAUAAUUCUGUCAAUGCAUGCCUUUUGUACCCAGAACGUGCCUGGUAAAUUUGUUAAAGAAUACCCCAGGCUAACACAUCAUUACACUUCCAAACUCAUCUAUCUUUUACUUCGGAUUAAUUCCUUUUUUCCCUCUCUCUUCACCUCCUCCAUAAAUCCUGGUGCACUUAAUUAAUUUCAGUUCCACUAUAAGGUCCAUAAUACAGAAUUGUUCAAGCAAACACAAAAUUAAUUAUUCUAUUUACAGCCUUCUCAUUGAGAGGAGCAUUUCAUCUUUCAUAAUUACAUUUUGGAACGUCCAAUUAUGAAUUCAGGCGCCUGCUGUUUUGCAUAAGGGGACAGUCCCCGAGUGUCCUCGAGGUAGAGGAGUCGGGCUGGUGGCCUCUUGUGCCGUCUGCCACUGACUCAGGCACUGCUGGUUCAGUCCCUGAAAGGCCUUUUAAGGAGACAUUGAGGGAGGGGCAGGAUGGGAAGGUCUGGAAGAGAGUGGAGCCCAGAGAUGGGGUGAAGAGAAGGAGGAGGAGGUAAGAAGGGAAGAGGAAGGGUGGGGGAUGUGCCAAUUUAACUGAGAACCUAUCAUGAUUAAGAGCUUUUCAAAGGGGACGAAACAGACUUCUUCAUCUUACCAGGUUGCAGGGAAGAUUCCUGCUUUUCUGCAAAUCAGUGGUCCAGGCACAUGGGCCCCAUCUUAUGCCUGGACUUUGCUCUGGUCUCAGAUGUAAGCCCUGGAAGUCCGGGCUCUCUUCUUUCACUCUGACUUUGGGCCAUAGAGGACCACUUUGGUGGCAUGAGUCUCACCAAGCCAUUGGGAUUUCAGCCAGGACACUUUCAGCUUAGUGGGAAAGCCACUCUCUCUCCUCCCUAACUGAUGGUCUCCACCUCUCAAAGCUUAUGGGCCAGCAACACCUUUUAGAUGGGAAUGGAACAGACACCAGCUCUCUGUUCAGGGCCCUGCUCCAGAUGCCCUGGGGUAGGCUCCAGAAGGCAGCUACUUGACUGCACCAUGGUGCUUGACCCACUGGAGUUCUAAGAUAGUACAAGAACCCCUGUUUAAAGUUUUUUUUGUUUUGUUUUUAAUUAGUUUUCAUCUGACCCACUUUUAGAUAAAAUUAACAUAUUUGUUUAAAAAUAAGUCAAAUAAUUUCUUUAAAAAUUUUAUUAAAAUAAGGUCUGUUUUGUAAAGUAGGUGUGUUCUGCCGAUCCCCAGAGGGGAAUGGCUUCCUUCUUCCUUACCAUCCCCUGCACACCUCACUUCAAAGCCAAUGGAAUUUCACCUUAACAUAAAUAGAAGUGUUCAUUUUCUUAAAAAAAAAAUCUAUUGAGUUCCUGCUAAGUGCUAGACAUCACACUGGGCACUGCGUGUUAGGGACUUUGUAUAUGUUGCCUAUUUAGCUCUAUGACAGCCACCUGAUAUCCUUCAGUGGGGACUGCCUGACACUCGGGAACCUCAUCUCAAACAGGUGUGUGCAAGUGACCAUAGGAGAGUUGAGUUCCAGGCCUGAGUGGGCUGUGAAAUCUCAGGGAAAAAACUUACACUGUGGAUACUGUAGGGUGUAGUGGCAAGAGCUUGACUCUGGAUUCAGACUGCCCAUGUUUGAAUCCCCACUCUGGUACUUGCCAACUGUGGGAUCUUAGGCAAAUCACUUAACUUCCCUGUUCCUCAGUUGCCUCAUGUGUUAAAUUGGGAUACUACUACUGCCUCACUGGGCUGUUGUGAGGUUUCUACAAGAUUAUGUGUGUAAAAUCCUGGCUCAUACUGGAUGGGUACUCACUUAGUGAUUGUGUCUCAGUUUCUCCAUCUGUUGAAUCUGUAAAGUUUGAGUAGCUAAGUGAGAGUGAUGCAUUUUGGAAAUGAGUGCUCUGCCAUCAUUCCCAAAGGCUGGUACCUGAGGCAUGCAAGGACUUCCAGGGUGGGGCAGGGAUUCACACUGAGGGAUGCAAAAGGCCCUGAGCACCCACUGCCCCUCCACUUACAUUUGUAUCCUGUCACUCUUGAUUAACCCCCUCCAACAGUUUCCCAGUUCACUUAGAAUAAAAACAUAAUAUUUCUGGUGGCCUAUAAGGCCAACCAGGUCCCAUUUCUGUCUGCUCUCCAAGUUUCCUACUUCCUACUUUCCUCUUCAUUGUCUAUGCUCCAGUUACACUGGUCUCUGUUCCUUGGACUGUUGGCAUCUUUCCCACCUUAGGGUCUUUGCACCAGCCAUUUCCCCUGCCAUGCACAUUCUUUCCCCAGUUCUUAGCAUGACUGGCUCAGUUUAAAUGUCAUCUCUUCAGAGAACCUUCCCUGAUCAUCCUACCUGUAAAGCAGCCCUUAGCCCAGUCCUCCUCCUCACAUUACCCUGUUUGUUGUCUUCAUAGCCCCAAUCACGAUCUGAAAUAUCUUGUUUGUUUUCUUGUGUAUUGUCUGUCUUCAAACCCCUUGAAUAUAAAGACCCAAGAAAGCAGGAGUCAUGACUGUCUUGCCCAAUUCUCUAACCCUUGAUUUGUGGUGGGUGCACAAUAAAUAUUUUUUAAGUGAACAAUUUACCUCCAUCUCCAAUGCGACUACAGCAAGCCUGGAAAAAUGAAGAUUUAGGAAUGUCUUCGUUUGUGAUUGGCUGUAGGGGAAAUGGACCAGGCUUAAUUUUUCCUUUAAAUCAAUUUUCUGAUCUUGAGGAGGCUUCCUUCAUCCUAACAAACCCUCAAGAUGGGGGAGAGCCAUUGAUUUAUCUCAUAAGUGAUUUUUUUCCAGACCUGCCCACACCGAAUAAUUACUUGCUUUUGUGGGCUGAGAAUGUCUUUCUGCUGUUCCACCUGGUAGGUUUGUUUUGUUUGUUAAUUAGCUAUUAAUUGCAAGGGCUCCUAGGAUCUGGAGGUGAAGGGGAGGCCCCAGAGGUGGGUCAGGGGGUCUUGGGUAAGCUAGGACCCCAGACUGGAAUGAGGGUGACCUCACUGGGCACUGGGCUAAUUUAUUUCAAAUGGUGUCAUGUCUGGGUAGUCAGUGAGCUCCCGGGAUGAUGAGUGAUUUUGCUAAUUAAGUCCCAUAAACACUACAGCUUAAUUUUCAGCAGUGGGGCUGCAGCUGGUGGAUGGGAGCCGCCGGCAGCUGCGACAGAGGCUGUCCUUGAAGGAAUAGGCCACGGACGGAUGGUGGGAAGGCUGAGAGGGAAGAAGGGGUGUUCAAAGGCAGGGACCUCACCCUGGGUGCAUUCUUUCCUUCCUCAUCCCUUUGUCCCUUUGCUGUCUCUCUAGGCCAGUCCCUGCCCAUGGGAAUAUCCCAGGCUGGUGAAGAGAUAAUGCCUAUAAGUGAAUUGAAGGGAGUUUCUGGAACAUAAUCCCCAUGCUUCCAUAGGGCCAAUCUGGAAACUUCCAUCACUGUUUUUCAUCUUCCUUGACUUCACCUCCUCUAGACCUCACUUCCAUCAUCUCUUCCAUCUCUAAAGCCUAGAUAAUUUGUCUCCCAAGCCUUCUACCUCUUGACUUUGCCUACAUUGCUCCAUUUCCUCCAGCAGCCCUGCUCCACCCCCACCUACUCUCCCCUGGAAGAACUCAAAAACCAAUCGGCAGAUCUCCUUGCUGCCUUUGUUGGCCCUACAAUUCUUUCUCCACACAGCACCUCGCAUGGUCUUUCUAUAGUGUACAUCUGACCAAGUCACUCCUUUGCUUAAAAUUCUCUGGGGGCUUUUACUUUCCUUUAGAUAAAGGCAAACAUCCUUUCCAAGGUCUGUAAGACCCUACUGACUCCUGUGGCCCCAUCUCUUACCACUCUCAAUUGCACACUUUGGGACCAAUUUUCUUCUUCAUUUAAUUUUUUUUUAUAACCAAACACAUUUUUUUUUUAAACCUUCAGGUCUUUGAAUAAGAUGUGCCUUCUACCAGGAUCAUAUUCUAUGCUCCCCAUCAUCUAUCUUCCAAUGCCUUUGCUUGGUUGACUCCCCAUGUGUAGAUUGCAGAAGUCCCUUCGCCAGGGCAAUGGAGGACCCAGGCCCUUGCAGAUCUGUGUUGGGCUGCAUUAGGUUGCGUUAGGCUGACUGCAUGGAGGACCUACCUGCGUCCAAGUGCCCACAUUACUGUGUGUAAUAAUGUGUUUAUUGUGAGACUCCCUACAGGGACAGUGAUCAUGACUGUCUGACCCAUUUCUAUGUUCCCAGUGCCCAGCACUGUGCCUGCCAUAUAGUUGAUGCUUAAUAUAUGUUUCUUGAAUUGCAUUAACGAGGUGCUAUGAUGGACAGAGUACAGUGGAGUGCAAAACGCAAAGUGAUUGUUUCCCCAGAGCAAUGGUGAGGAGGGCUGUAAGGAAGGACUUCAGAGAGGUGGAGGUUUGGAGUGGUGUCUUGAGAGAAAUGGGCAUGGGGAUGACUGGGUGCAAAUCAUAAGGGCACCUCUAGAACAUCAAUUCCUCAGCAGAGUGAGGGGAGUCAGGUGGAGGCAUGAGGCGACAAAAUCAGCACUAAUGAUUCAGGGACAGGCUGGGAUGGGGGGCAGGAGUGGGGAGGAACCAUGUGGGGGUUAUCCUAGACCUAGGAACCAGGGAUGGCAUGCCAAGGUGAGCUGCUGUGCCUCCCUCGCUUCUCCCCAUAGCUUGAUUUUGGGAUGCCUGCUGCCCUCACCUGGGCCACCCCUUGAGAGAUGCUCUAGGGUUGUCUACAUCAAAGGGAGCCUAAAUUCACUUCUUUGAGCCAGUUUCCAGGAGAGUACUGGCUUCCCUUGAGGCAGCUUGCUUCCCUCUGAUGAGGAAAGAAGUAUAGCCCAGGAUGCCACAGCCUGUCACAUUUCUGUGGCCGUGAUGUUGCAGUUUACAAAGUGACUUCAAAUGGCAGACUGAUGAGAUCCCUAUAGCUAGGUAGACCUGGGAGGAUCUGGCACACUUCCUUUUGGUCUGGGCUGACCCCUUUUCCUGGGAUGCUGUUCUGGCUGCUAUUGCUGUGUCCUACCCAAAUACUUACUGGUGUAAAACAACAACCAUUUUAUUCUGCACACAGAUUUUGUGGGUUAGGCAUUAGGAACGGGCAUAGCAAGGAUGGCUUUUCUCUGCUCUGUGCUCUCUGGGGCCUCAGUUGGGAUGACUAGAAUGGCAGGGGCUGGGGAAUCUAUUAGUACUCCCAAGAUGGCUUCUGCACUCCGCGGUCCAGUUCCUGGGCUGGGAUGGCUGAUGGCUGGGCUCUCAUGGAACUGUCAUUGAGAGCACCUACAUAUGGCCUGUAGUAUUGCGGUCUUAAUUUCUUACUUUGGCACACUUAUAUUGUGAUUUUAAUUAAUUCCUUCCCUUCCACUAACUCAUUAUAUGGCCCUAGUCAAGUUACUUAAUCUCUUUUGCGGCUUCAGUUCCUCAUCUAUGAAAUGGGGAUUAUGACAGUGGCUAUCUCAUACCACCUUGGUGAGCAUUAAGUGAGAAUUUGUAUGUGAAGUGCACAGAAGGAACUCUCAGUGCAUGUUAACGUUAUCGCUGCUUCCUCGUAUUUAACAUGUGGAAGUAGAUGACUCCAGGUUUCUUUAAUCUCUAGGAUUUCCUUUUUUAUAGAGGCAAUGAUGGUCCAGACACACCAGGAGAUUUUUAUCGGACCACACGACUCGUAAGUCUCAAAACCAGGAUUGGAACCUGAAUAUCUCCCCAUGGAGUUUGUUAUUCUUUCCAUUGUACCACAUUGCCCCUUUGGUGGCCAUUUGCUUUGAAUCAGCUCAAUAAAAAUGUUGGCUGUGUAUUAGUCAGCUUGGGCUGCCAUAACAGAAUACCAUAGGCUGGAUAGUUUAAACAACAAAAAUUUAUUUUCUCACAGUCCUAGAGUCUGGAAGUCUGAGAUUGGAGUCAUUGGGUUCUGGUGAGGGCUCUCUUCCUGGCUUGCAGACUUCUUGCCAUGUGCUCACCUGGCCUUUUCUUGGUGUGCACACUCAGAGAGAGACAGAACCAGCUCUCUGGUAUCUCUUCUUAUAUGGACAAUAAUCCUGUCAGGUCAGGGCUCUAUUCUUAUGACCUCAUUUAACCUUAAUUACCUUCCAAAGGCCCUAUCUCCAAUAUAGCCACUUUGGGGAUUAGGGAUUCGACAUACGAAUUCUGGGGGGAAGGGGGUACACAAUUUAGUCCAUAGAGGGUUGGUUGCUGGGAUGCACCAUAACUAGAGUGGAGCACUAUCUCUACUGAUCUGUUUACUAGUUUCACCAGUUUAUUGUCCAUCCAGUCAUUUAAUUAUUACCCUCGUGGCCAUUUGUCUUCUGGAGGUGCCAACAUCAACAGCAAAAUAUACCUAAGAUAUUGUACUACAGCAAAGCUGGCAGUAUUUAAAAGUGAUUAUAUCCUUGAGUCUGAAGUUUGUUUGGGUUCAAUCUCAGUUCUGUGACGGGCUUUAUGUCUUUGGAUGGCUCACUUAACCUCCUUAUGCCUCUGUGUCUUCAUCUAUAAAAUGGGUAUAAUAAUAGCCUCUGCUUCACAGGGUUUCUGUAGGAUUAAAUGUGAUAAUAUGGCAAAAAUUUUAGCUUAGUAUCAUUAUCGUCCUCACCCCAUCUCCAACCCCAUCAUCGUUACCAUUAUCAUCAUCAUCAUUUCUCUCAACUACAUUAAAAAAAGAAUGGAAGCUAGUAUUUACUGAGAACAUAUUGUAUGCUAGGCAAUUUCAUAAAUGUUACCUCAUUUGAUUCUUUCUAGGUAGACAUUUGCAGUCCCUCUCUCUCUUUCUCUCUCUUUAUAUUACUAUAUAAAGUAACUAAAGCUAAGAGAGUAGAAUUGUCCAAAACGAUGAAUACACAGCUAGUUAGCAGCUAAGACAUAACUAUGAAUCUCAGUCUAUCUUACUCCAAAGCCUGGUUGAUGGAGGAGAAAAUGAGAAAAUGAAGAAGUAUUGGGGAGGAUGUUAUAAGGAGAGAACAUGCCUACAAACAAAUUUUAUUUUUGUCAAUUUUUUCUAAUAUAGUUUAUUAUCAUUUUCUGAAGGAAAUUUCAAUUUUCUCUUCAGUUUUGCUUCUUUUUUGUUCAAGUUUUAUAUGCACUUAAAGGGUCAGAAGUUCCACAGGAUUUGUUACAAACCCCUCCAGCAAUUUCUCCCACAUUUCACCUUCCCUAGAGGCAACCACCUUCCCCACCUUUGGCAGAUUUUGAUAUUUACCUCUGUGUUUCAACAAAACAUGUUUGCAAUAGUACUUGUUGUUUCUUCAAGUCUAGGUAUUACACCUUGAUUUCCCACCAUGGAAGAUGAGGAUUUAGCUUUCUUUCCUUUACCUGUCCUACCACACUUCUACAUCCUUCUCACUUACCCCAUCCUCCCAGUAUAGAUAUAUCAUAAUUUUAUAUUGUAAUUUGCUAAGACCAAUUCUUAACACUUAUAUUGUUAUUGCUGUGUAAACACUCUUCACAGCUGAGCAAGGUAGUAAACUAUUAUUACUUUUCUUUUCCCAUGCAACUUUUAAUUUCCUUGAAGCUAGUAUUUGUCUGUUUGGUUUUUGAAGCUUGCUUUGCUAUUGUUAAUCAUUAGUUUAACCCCAAACUCCUUGCUUGUUACCUAAUUCACCUAUCCAGGCACUCAAACACAUCAGAUAUUCUGUCAAUCUCUUCUUCUGGAUAAGUCCCUCCCAGUGGCUGUGGCUUGCUCCAAUCUGGCCUGGUUGCCUUCUAAGCCUGAUGCACAGCUGUUGACCUGGGGCCUCCUUCCCCUAUCCCACCGGAAAUUCUCUGUCCUUCACUCCUGAGUUAUAUUUCUUAUUUUCUGAAUCUCAUUUUCCUCUUUCUUGUUUUACAAACUCAUUUUGGUGGAGCACCUUCUGUAAUUGUGUCUUAAGAGGAGGUACCUGAGAGGAAAAAUAUUUAAAGACUUCUCAUGUCUGAAAUAUCCUUAUCUUAUUCUCACACUUGAUGAAUAUUUGGCUUGCAGUAGAUUCUUUUUUUGUUUAGAAUUCAUUUUUCUUCAUAAUUUCAAAGCCAUUAUUUGGUAACCAGCUUCCAAAAUAGCCCCCAAUGCUUCUCUUCUCUGAUAUUCAUGCCCUAUAGAGUCCCCUCCUGCAUUUAAUAGGCAUGACCUGUGUUAUCAAUGGAAUAGUGUAGAAAUAAUGGCCACAAAAGACAUUGUGGCUUCUGACACUAUGGCUUGUUUUCCUAGGAUUACUGUUUCUCAGAGAAGCCUGCUGCCAUGUCAUGAGGACACUUGGCAGCCUUUUGGAGAGGUUCACAUGGUGAGAAACUGAGGUAUCCAGCCACAGCCAAUAUCAACUUGCUGGCCUUGCGAGUGAGGCAACUUGGAAAUGGAUUCAUCAGGCCCAGUCAAGCCUUCGAUGGCUGCAACUCUGGCUGACAUUUCAAUUAUAACCUUAAGGAAGACUCUGAGCCAGAACCAAAGAAACUGUAUGAGAUACAUUCUUAAAAAAAUUACUUUAAGCUGCUAAGUUUCAGGUUAAUUUGUUAUGUGGCAAUAGAUAACCAAUACCUACUGUGCCAUUGUCUUCUAGUUGAGAAGUCUGAAGCAUUUCUGAUUUUCAACUCUUUAUUCGAUCUCUUUUGUUUUGUAUUUUUCUCUAGAAGCUUGCAGGAUCUUCCCUUUGUAGCCAGGGUUUGCACAUUUUCCUAACAUUUCAUUAUAAUAUGCCUAGUGUGAGAACAUGUUCAUCCUCUCUAUCAAACCCUUUCAUUGGAAAUUUAUAUUCUUCAGUUCUGGGAAGUUGUCUUGAGUAAUUUUGGUGACUUUCUCCUUCCAUUGUCUCUGCUCUCUCUUUCUAGAACUCCCGUCAUUUGGAUGCUGGUCAUCUUUGACUGGUUCUCUAAUUUUCUCAUCAUUCCUUUUCUAUUUCCACAUCUUUGUCUUUUUUCUCUGUCUUCUGGAGAGUGUAUUUAUAUUUGGAUCCUUCUUUUGAGUUUUUAUUUAAACUCUGCUGCAUUCAGAAUUUCUAAGGCAUCUUUUUAUGUGUGCUGAAUGUUCUUUUUUAUAUUAUUUUACAUUUAUUUCAUGAAAUCUCUUUUGUUAUCUCUCUGAAGAUAUGUGCGUUUGCAUAUACAUAUGUAACAGCUUUAUUGAGAUAUACUUCAUGCAGCAUGGAAUUUACCCAUGUAAAUAUGCAGUUCAGUGGUUUUUAGUAUAAUCACAGAGUUGUGUAAUCAUCACCACAAUCAAUUUGGAAUAUUUUUGUCACCCCAAAAAGGAAUUUUGUACCCUUUAGCUGUCACUCCUCAAUUUCCUCCUCUCCACCCCUGUCUAGGCAACCACCAAUCUUCUUCCUAUCUUUGCCUGUUCUAGACAUUUCAUAUGCAUGGAAUGACAUUUCUUCAUUUCUUAAAUAGCAUAGUUCUGUUUUUCCUAGUUGCUCCCCGCCCUGCAGUCAUUUCCUUUGAUCUUCCAGGUCAGGGGCCUUCCUCAGAUGUCUGUUAAUCCUUGGAAGUUUGUUCUGAUUGAAAAAGGAAGGAUAAACCAGCUGACUGUCAUGGGUGGGGCUUGCUGACUCUGAGCUUCCCCACAGGGUGACCUGUUGCUUAUUUGGUGGAGCAUUGUCUGAGGUCAUCAUUUUAAAAUCUCUUUAGGAUGGUUGGAUUCUUAGAUAAGAUUAUUUUAGUCUCCUGCUUGUAGGUAAAAUUUUGGCUGUCAAUGCUUUGAGAAUUGACUGAGAGAAAAUCACAGGGAGAUGUCAACAUUUAAUGCGUGAAUGUUCACUUGAUUCCAUGUUCCAUAAGGAACCCUGCUCUCAACAGUGCCUGGUCCUUUGCCUUAAACUCCCUGGAGAAAAAUUCUCCACUCAUCUGCUGAGAGGAGGGAGGGGCAAUUGCUUCCCUGUGAAAGAGUUGGGGAGAACAUCUAGUGAUCUGACUGCUUUUAAACAUAUUUUACACCAAUUUUGUUUAUAUUUAUGCAUCAAACAUUUAUAUAACCACUACUGUGUGCCAGGUACUUUUCUAAACUGUUGAUAGAUUCUCCUUCUUUGAGAAUGUCUCCCACUCCCUAUUUGUAGUGCUCCCCGAUGCCUCUAAUUCCUAAGCCUUUCAGAAAUUCCAGUGAAUCAAGUUGUUUCUCAGCUCUCCCACUGCUGGGUUAGGAUCCGGUUAUUUCAUGUAUGUCAGUUUGGGCCCUUCAAGAAGUAGACACCAACGUGGACUUAAAUGCACAAAAGCUUUAUUGGGAAAAACACUUGUGAAGGAAAAAUGGGGAGAAAGCUGGAGGAGGCUGGGAGAGCUGUCAGACUAUGAUGCAUGUCUAACAUUUUGGAGGAGAGAGGGAAGGGAGGAAGAUUGGGUAGAAAAAACUAUUAGAAUGCUGCGCUGUUCCAAGAAAGUUUCAGCAAAGCUGAUGAGGCAUUCUCCAGCUAAAAUCAUCUGUCAAAGGAUUCUCAUGUCUCCCGACAACGGACCUGCCUUACUAUCUCAGCUGUGCUCAGCCAGAGGCUGGGAGUGAAUGUGGUGGUGGAUUCAGAGCAUAGCACCUGGGGCAGUUGAUCAAUUACACUGAAGUUGGAGAUCUGAAAGGCACGUUCUUGUGGUUUCUGCAUAGCCAUGUCAGGUGUGCUAAUUCCUCCCCAAACUUCCAGUGAAACAACAGCAAAGGGAUUUUCUUAAAGGGCAUAAGCCACAAAGACGAGGAGAAUAGGAAAGGCAAUAGCGACAAAAUUUUGGAAGCUGGAUAUAUAUUUUCAGUCCAUCAUGCCUACCCAGACCUCCUUUGAGAUAUUUAUUUUUAGUCCUUCUUGUUCUUCAAUGGAUGCUUUCAAGAAUACAAAUUUUCCUCUGAGUACUGCUUUGGCUUCACCAUCACAAUAAGCAUGGCAAAUAUGUAAUCCUUUCAUUUCAUGACAUGUACAGCUACUUAGUGACAGUGGUAUGGAAUAGCCUACAUAACCCGAAGCUUUUAUGUCUGGUUAUGGUGUUGUAUAAAUUAAUGACAAGGGCUAUAGUACAUCUGCUCAGAAUGGCUGACCAGAACAAAUGGUCAUUUCAUUUCAGUUCGACAAAUAUUCACCGGGCCUUACCAAGUGCCUGUCUCAUGUUAGGAGCUGGAAACAUAGAAUGAACCAGAGAGAUGUACCUUGACUUUAAUCACAUAAUACACUAAGUGCUAUGAUGGAGGUAGUACAAGGUACUGUAGCAGAAUACACAGUGGGCCCCUGGGGUUCAUGGAAGACUUAGAGGAGAUAGUGGAGUCCUAGUGGACAACUAGGAAUAGGCCAGGAGAUGUGGGGUAAAGUGUUUCAAAUAGAGGAAACAGUGAAUGAAAAGGCAAGAUGUGAAAUGUCAGAUUGUAUUCUGGAAGCUCUGAGUUGUUCAGUAUUAUUGGCACAUAGAGUCAAGUAAUAGAGGGGUGAGACAUGUGGCAGGCCUGACGGUAAGGCCCACAGAUGAUUUAAGGAGCUGGGACUUGUUCUGAAGGCAACAACUUAGACAUCCAUUUCUGGUAGUUUGGGUAGUUCCCCAAGGCUGCCAUUAGUCCUCUUCCCAGUACCCCAGGUCCUUCUUGAGAUUUUGCAGGUGCUGGGGGUGCAGGGCUUGGGUGGCCAUGGACACCUUCCUACGAGGGUACUCUGUUAACAUUUCACCCUGCUAGAUGAAGCUUGUGCCAUCUUGUCCUGAUUCCCCUUCCCAAUUGUAUAGCCCAGCAAUACCAUCCUCUGACUGGCAUCACUUCUUUCUGAAGUCCCACAUCUAUGGCUGCUUAAUUGUGCUCCACACUCUACUUUGCAGGAAGCAGGAAGCUGGGGACCCCCUGCAGACCCCAGACUCUGCCGUCUGGCUUUGAAGGGAAAACAUUUGCUCAGAUUUUCCCAACUACCCCAGGAAUCACCUGCUUAGGAGAAGGGUAUUGGGGAGGGAGGCGUGAUGAGAGUCAGAUGGAUCUGGUGCUAAUGCUGGUUGAGGUGCUUACCUGCUGGGUGACCUUAGGCAAAUGCUCUCUUUAACAAGCAAGCAUUGGACAAUGCCCUCUCUGUGCACAGCCAUAUGCUGGGCUCUGAUGGGACAAGACACUGUAGGGGAGAAAGACAGAAAAGAGGAGGACUUAGGAUCUGUGUAAACCCAGGGAGACUUAAGCCCUCGUGACACAUUAUUAAUAAGUAUACAUUAUUAUGGCUCUUCAGUGGAAGAAGUUGGGGCUUAAAGAGAUUACAUGGCUUGCCCAAAGUCUCUGUAGCCAUACUCCCCUGUACUGUAACCACUGUUCCCAAGGUCUGCCCAAUAAUGUGAUAGCAGCAACAGCACACAGACCCACUCCCUCUGGUCAUUGCCAGCUUCCUCCUGCCUGUAGAAGGACCAGAAGUACUGGUGAACCUGUGGAGAUGAAGAAUGCCCCAGGCCUUCAGAUGGAUCCACCUAGAGAGUGCAAGGAGGCUGGCUUGGUAGCCUGAGAUCAUUCCAACCCCUUUUCUUUCUUCACCUGCAGGACAGGAACUCCCAUGUAGGUUGGGUGGUACCCACAGUCAAGGUCUUUGGGAGGGCCACUGGAGCCUCUCUUCUCAGCAAAUCUGAACAGUGGGGCUGGGCAUGUGUGCUAGGCUGUCAGGAAGAGUUAUAUCCAGACAGCCCCUCGGCCUGCCUGCUUUCUCCUCCACAGUCCCCUCCUAAUUCAUUUUCCGCCUUUAAUGUACUGUUGUGGAGCUUCCUCUCCCAUUAGGGCCUGUAAUGUGCACCGAUUCCCUUCAGCUUGACUGCCUUUAAUAGGCAGCGUAAAUAGAAUUUAGUGUGGCAUGCACUAACAUCUCUAUCCAUUGUCCAGAGAUUAAAUACUUGCCACCGAUGGUUCAUGCAUCAUCAGCCUCGAGCCCAGCUUCAUAGCUCCCAACCAAAGGAGGAUAUUAAAUUAAUUUGCAGGUUGCUUUAGCAAAACCUAACAAAAAAACCUCCACAGGAGGAGAGGGGAGGGGGCAGGAUGCAUCUGCUCACCAUCAAUCAUGGGGUGGGAGUGGGAGUUGUUAGGAACCAGGAAUGGGGCUCUUGUCCAUCUCAGGCUGGGUCCUUCUUGGGGGCCACACUGCUUGGCCAUCUACUUCCAUCUUAGUCCCCAGGCUUUGGCCCAUGGGCAGCUCUUCUCUCAGCUUUGGAAUCAGCUUUCUGUUCUGACAAGUAGAGUGAGUGAUGGAGAAGAGGGUGUGGGGACUGUAGGGCUUGAGUCCAGACCACAGGGGUGACUUCUUCCUUUUUAGGGGUGUAGCCAAAGGACAACAGGUAAAAUGCCCCUGUGGUCCCAGUUAGGGAGGCCUCUGAAACCUCCCUUUGAACCAUUAGGGUCCCUUUGGUGUCCCUUCUUGUUGGGGCCCCAGCUGGGUGGGUGUGGGAGACAGGGGGUGAGGGUCGGUGUAGGCCUUGCCUCUGGGAUCCAGCGGGGGAAUUUACUGCCCUUUUUGUAUCAGAUGGUGUGGUCUGUGUCGUUCACUACAGUCAUGUGGGGAAGAUCUGCAAAUGGACAAUGAAGAUCCAGGUACAAGGGGCUUUGGAAGCCCAGAUAGCAGCUUGUGCCGACUUAGGGGAUCACAGUGGUCAUGGGGGAGCAGGUCAUCUCUUGAGUUGGACCUUCAAUGAUAAGCAGGAGUUAGCUGUCGGGGUGGAGGGGACAGGGUUGUUCCAAGCGAAGGGCUUGGAGGUGUCUCCACGCACGGCAUUGUCAGAGAACACAGGGAGUGCAGUGACUGGAAGGCAUGGUGAGCAUGGGGAGAGACUAGAGGUGAGGCUGGGAGGGGAACUUUAUGUGGAGACACUGGAGAACCAUGGGAGGUGUUCAGCAGGAGCAGGAGAGGCUCAGGGCCAGGGCUGUGCUCUGUAGAGACCAUUCUGAGACAAGGAAACAUGGAGAGCCCUUGCCUGAGUCAGGGAAGACGGGGCUCAGACUGUGAUACCAGUGGAGACCAGAGAACGUUAGUACCAAUCCUGGCCUGAAAGUCUCUGGGACAAAGGAUAAAAAGAUCCCAUCCCUUAUCUUAGUUCUGGCAUAGCUGGGAACAAUAAAACUGAGUCUUUGUGCUCAGAUGUGCUUUGAGAAGAAAUGUUGAAUCCAGGUCCCUGUCCCGCGGGCCCUAUCUGCCCAGAAGCAAGGCUCUGGACGAAAGGAGGCAGGUAGGAAGAGUUUGGCUCACUUGAGCAUAGUUGGAAUCUGGCCUCUCCUUUCCAUUGAGUGGGUGGUUUGGGGGCUGGCCUUUGGACAGCAAAUGGACCAAAGGGAGUCCAUUUGUCCAUUUGCUGGGAGUUCCUCUCCUACCAGGUUUAGGCGGGCAUGGUGGAUACAGGACAAGCAUGCCACCACCUUCUAAGUCAUUGCCCUGGCAGACAUCACUAAUCAAUCAAGCCACAUUUCCCCAUGAGGGGCAAAAUCACUAGGAUCCUUUUCAGCACAGACUGUGUAGGACCACCAAGGAUGACCUGAGCCUGAUAAAACUGAUAGAAUCAGCCAAUUAUUUAACUUCCAACCAGGGUCUUGUGUCUUUGCAGACCUGAGCAGGCAUGGUGCUCAGAUCUUAGCAGAUUUUUCCAGUCUGUGGUUCUGCCUUUCCCUACAUCGUGGGAAUGUAGUGGGUCUCAUGGCAGAGGCUUUUGAGGCAAAGUGGGUGAGGAGAGACCUCAGCAGUGCGUAAGACUCCAUUGUGGGCUGCCAAUUCCUCCCUGAUGAACUCCUCCACCAGUGACCUCCACUUGCGGUGGUUUAUUAAUAGCUUUUAACAUGAUCAUUUGGACUAAUUGAAAAUGGGAGCAGCGCUAAUAUGCCCCUUACAUUUCAUUUCUUUUUUAUUUAAAAAAGAUGCUAAAAGCAUUUAUCGAGUAGUUUCUGGGGAAACCUAAUAAAAAGGUCUCCCCUCUUGCCAUUGCAAUGGUGUGGUCUCCUGCCAGCACCCCAUGCAGGGGGUUCUCGUGGUUCAUUAGUGUGAUUUAAGGUGUCCAAGUGGCCCUGUUAUAAAGCCAUCACUGGGAGCUGCUCCAAGACAUCUCUCACUCAUGGCAAGCUCCACCUGGUACUGAAGGUGGAGAAUGGAUAGGACAGGAUGAGAAUUUUUGGCUGGCAUCCUUUCACCAUACCCAGUCUGUGGACUGUAGUGUGGGCACUGCUAUGGGAAUAAAUGGAUUAUCUCCCACCUCCCACCCCACUGUUCUUCUGUCUUAUUGGCUGGGAUUAAAAAUCAUGGAGGAGCAAGGUCUAAUUAGCCUCAUUUAGGAUUACUGCCCAUCUCUCAGUCAAAGAGGACAGAUGUGCUCCUCAUUCUUCAUUUUUCCUCCCCUUCUUCCUAGUUUGUUUCUCUGCCAUUCUCUGUACCCCAAAAGACUCACCCUUGGACUUGCCCUGUGGCUUCCCAUUGAGUUUGGCCAAUGAGAGGUAUUGGCAGGAGAUCAGAGGGUGGAAGAGGAGAGAGGUUGGGAUCUCUAUUCCCUACUCCCUUCCUGCUUGGUGUUACACUAGUUCUAGAGUCAUUGACCCCAUCUGACUCUGUGUCCCACUGGACAGGCUCUCUCCAUAGUUGCAUUUCUCCCUUCAGACCUAAGGUUGGUGCUAUGGUUUGGCUGUGUCCCAUUCAAAUCUCAUCUUGAAUUGCAGCUCCUGUAAUUUCUAUGUAUCAUGGGAAGUACCUGGUGGGAGGUAAUUGAAUCAUGGGGGUGGGUUUUUCCCUUGCUAUUCUCUUGAUAGUGAAUAAGUCUCAUGAGAUCUGAUGGUUUUAUAAAAGGGUGGUUUCCCUGUACAUGCUCUCUUUCCUGCCACCAUGUAAGAUGUGCCUUUGCUCCUCUUUUGCCUUCUGCCAUGAUUGUCUUGGGCAUUUCUUCAUAGCAGUAUGAAAAUGGACUAAUACAGGUGGUAACUUCUUGCCACUAGGGCUAGUUUUGGGCCAGUGUUUGUUUCCUUAACACUGUCUGCACCUCUGCAAAUAGUCCCUUCAUUAAAGACUUCUUGGCCUUUGAUUUCACUUCUUACACACUUCCCUGAAAGGCAAUCCUUUGAUGUCAUUAUUCAAAGAAAGGAGAAUGGAUGCUGGAUGGCCCCCAAAGUUUCAACUGUUCUUUAGAUUCUCGCCUUACUCUUGGCCACAGGCUGAGCCACAGAUAUCUGGCCUCUCCUUUCCAUUGAGUGGGUGGUUUGGGGGCUGGUCUUUGGCACACUCUGCUUCUGGCCAAUGAGUAAAGGCUCUGCUUAUCUGAGUCCCCAUUCCACUCUUGGUUCUCUGGCCCUAUCCCUAGCAUGGGAUCUUGUGCCUGUGGUCCCAGCCAGAGGUGACCCUAGGUCCCUAUCAGCUCCUCCAAAACCACUUCACAAAACCUUCACCUCCAUAUAUGGCUCCUUCUUAGAACUUUUCUGAGAAGGACUGAUCUAGUCUGUACUCCAUUGAGCUUACCGUACUAGAUGCCAGAAGCUGUUUCCAAAGGCACAUCACCUCUCAAAGGAUCAAUGUUUGCCCUUGACAAGGCCUCCUGUAAAACUCCGAAGGCCACUGGCAGCACUGUCAGAAUAAAUUCAGGGCUUUGCAAGGGGAUCCCUUUGAGGCCAACUGGGCUAUGGAUGAGCUUGUGGCUAUUAACCAAGUAGCCACAGCUCAGGUUGUGCCUGAAAGUGUGUGUGCUCUUGAUAAGAGCUCUUGAAGGGAGGGGAGAGGUUACCGAAGGAAAGCUCUCUGGACUCAUUCAGAUCUUCCAGGGGAAGAAAGUCUCUAGGACCCACAUCCAGUUCUCACCUUGUCCUGGUUGGAGGAGGCAGCUGGUGACAAGCUGAGGAACUUCUAGAAGCAGCCAGAUGCUGGGUCAAGCCAAGCACUUGCUCUGUGCUGUACCAGACUCUGGAGGUAAAUAUGGACUUGGACUUGGAUACUGGCUAUUUCUAACCUGGCAGUGACUUUGAGGCCUUCUUGGGUCCUCAGUAUCUUCAUCUGUAAUAGAUGUAAUAGAACAAAUGUUCUCUAUGAGUCCUGAGAUUCUGUAACCUAAGUUUCUCAAUCUUGGCACUGUUGGCAUUUCAGGCGGGAUAAUUCCUUGUGGAGGACUGUCCUGUACAUGGUAGGAUGUUUAGCAGCAUCCUUGGCCUCUAUCCAUUAGAUGCCAGUAGCAUCUUCUCUCCCCAGUUUUGAUAAUAAAAAAUGUCUCUAGACCUUGCCAAAUGUCUUCCAGGGAGCAAAACUGCCCUAGUUGAGAACUACUGAUUUAAAAUAAUGGUUAAGAAUCACCAUGUGGCUGGCCAGGCCUUUCACAAGACUCUCUUAGACUCCAGCUUGGUCAUAGGCAUUAUGAUCCUCAUUCUGAGGCUGGGGGCAUGGGCCUGCACUAUCCUAGCUCCAUAAGGUAGUGGCAUCUUAUCUUCCAAGCCUUUCCUGCUCCAGGGAUUGGGCUCUCAUUUAUUCAAUGAUCCGAUAAGGUCUGAACCUGACAGCUGGAAGCCCAGCCCUUUGGAGUGAGUCCCAAGGAGUCUAGGGACAAAGCCUGUGUGAAGAGGGUUCCAAGGGAGUGUGGGGAGAAGAAACUGGGCUUUAGGUGACCAGGAGUGGUCACCUCUUGGUGUGCUCUUGGGUGAGUUACUGAACUCUUUGUGUCUGAGUUUCUCAUCUUCUCAAUGGGGGUGAUAAUGGUAACCUCUCUCAUAGGAUUCUUAGAUCAGUCAGGAUUUUGGCAGGAAACAAAUGGCACAUCCAAAAGGAUUUCUCUAAAAAGAACAUUAUAAAGGAACAAUUUUCAAAUUAAGGAAAAUUAAGGAAAUAGAAAGGGAUGGUGAGGCAUACCUCGGUUAGCAAGAGCAGAAAAUGAUGACCCCCUCCUCCUACUAGACUGAAGGGGCAAGGGAAGGAAAGGUUGUUUCAGGAGGCCUAUGAGAGUGGAGUCUUGGAACCCCUCCUCCGUGCCCCAUUCAGAUAUGCAGCCACAGAGAAAUGCAGUCAUGGCUAGAGUCACAACUGGUGGGCUCCCAGAACCCAAACUACAGCUGGGGGGGAUGGAGUGGGGGGUGAUGCAGCAGGUAGAGGUCAGCUUCCCCUGCGCAGAACAUGGAACACGGCAGAGAAGGUCAGAAACUAGAGCUGGGUGCAGGAUGGGAGUGGGGCAAGAGGAGAGCCACCAGCAGUUGUUAGGAAAACGAAUGAGUGGAUAUUUGUCAAAUCCUUAAAACAGUGCUCAGCAUGUAAUAAGUGCUUGCCAAAUGAAACCCUGUGCUAGACUCUGCGGGGUACAAGACAUAGUAAAUAAACUUCAGCAGCCCCUCCUGGGCCCAGGACAGGGCUCCCCUAUGGAGAGGUCCCAGGAUCUUCAGUUUGUGUCUGUGGAGGACUAGUUUGGGCUGACUGUGGUGUGGCCCCCCUUGGGAGACUUUUGCCUAAGCAGCCCCUGCCCACCACCUCACAGACACAUCCAGGGGAAGCCCACCCUGAGCCUCCCUACCCUGAGCCUCCCUACCCUGGCCUGACAUCGCCGUCUGGCUUCAGCCAUGGCAUUCCCUUGACUCCCCUGGCUUCACGUCUCAUGCCCUUUGGCUAUGACUAAUCUGGAACCAGAGGCUGGGAGGCCUGGAAAGCCCUGCCUAGGGGGAAGUAGGGGGCAGCUUUUGUCUUCCCCUGAGACCCCUCAGCACUGAAGUUUUCAUAGUUCAUGGAACGGAUCUUCCUUUGCUUUUGUGGGUCCCUUCUGUGUAGGCAUGCAGAUAUAUAGGAUGGUGAGCCCCAAAGGGGCUCUGUGGGGCCUGUGCUCCUAGCUGCCUUUAGGGAUGCUCCAUUAAGGGACUCAAGGCCAGAAGAGUUUGCCAUAGAGGUGGCGAGAGGCAGAGGGGGACAAGGAGGCAACAUUUCAUGAACUUCCACGCUUCCUCUGUCAUGGCUCUCAUUGCCACGCUGGCCUGCAGGUGGAAGCUGGGCUCCUCCCAGUCCCAGGGACCAACUAUCUGAAGGGAUCUGGGGGUGCAGUGAGCUGGGCCAGAGUCCUUUUCCACUUGGCUCUGAUGGAGGAUUUGCGGGGUAGGGAGUGGGCCUGGGCUGAGCUCCUAGGGCUGGCACAAGAAGGGAGAGAUUACUAGUCCUUUCUCCAGCCCAUCCAUGGCUGGUUGCCCAUGUCCAGGGGGUUCAAGGGAGCCCUGAGUACUCUCCCAGCUCCAGCGUGUACAGACACUCCACUUAGGUUUGCUAGAGAAAAUAUACAAUGCCCAGUUAAUUUGGAUUUCAGAUGAAUCAUUGUUUAGCAUAAGUAUGUCUCAAAGAUUGCAUGGAACAUACACUAAACAGUAAUUUGUUAUUUAUCUGAAAUACAAAUUUAACUGGACACCCUGUAUUUUUUUUUCCUUUUUUUCUUUAUCCGGCAACCCUGUCCAGUGCCAUCUCCAGCCUCCACCUCCUCCCUCCAUGGGCCCCCAGAAGUAGGGGUUUUACUGCAUCUUGUUCCUUCGUGGUUCCCCCGUAAGUGAAAUCCAGGAUCCAAGCUUGAAGAGCUCUGAGAUGGGGCUGUUUCAGACCCAUGAAGCCCCCAGGGGAUGAGGGGCUGAGCCAUGGCUCCUAUUGGCCUUUGUUAGGGUUAGGGUGGUGAGGUUCAUGAGUGGGGGCUGGACAACGACUGUGAUAGCACAGCUGGCCCCCCACACUGCAGCUGGCCUCAGGGACCCAUGAUUUGAAUUGGGCAUGUGCAAACCCUGUGCUCAGCACGUGACUUGCUUUGUUCCAUUUCAUCCUCCCACACUGCAGCCCCAUGAGGCUGGGGUCCAUAGUAUCAUUUUGUAAAUGAGGACACCAAGGCACAGAGAGGUUAAGGGCUGGGCCAAGUCACACAGCUAAUCUAUGCUGGAGUUAGGGUUUGACCCCAGGGCAGAGCUCUCAGCUGCUGUCCCACACGCUUCCUCUCCUGGGUCCUGGCCUUUCCUAAGGGUGUCAUCAGGCCUGGGUCGC